AGUGAACGCUGGCGGUAGGCCUAACACAUGCAAGUCGAACGGCAGCACAGUAAUAGCUUGCUCUUACGGGUGGCGAGUGGCGGACGUGUGAGGAAUACAUCGGAAUCUACUUUUUCGUGGGGGAUAACGUAGGUAAACUUACGCUAAUACCGCAUACGACCUACGGGUGAAAGCAGGGGAUCUUCGGACCUUGCGCGAUUGAAUGAGCCGAUGUCGUAUUAGCUAGUUGGCGGGGUAAAGGCCCACCAAGGCGACGAUCCGCAGCUGGUCUGGGAGGAUGAUCAGCGACACUGGAGCUGAGACACGGUCAAGGGUACUGCGAGAGGGAGCAGAGGGGAAUAUUGGACAAUGGUCGCGAGCAUGAUCCAGCGAUACCGCGUGGGUGAAGAAGGCCUUGGGGUUGUAAAGCCCUUUUGUUGGUAAAGAAAAGCAGCAGGUUAAUACCCCGCUGUUCUGACGGUACCGAAAGAAUAAGCACCGGCUAACUUCGUG
RNAcentral lists this ribosomal RNA (492 nucleotides) under uncultured bacterium. RNAcentral's name for it is "partial 16S ribosomal RNA". It matches the Rfam family "Bacterial small subunit ribosomal RNA", at positions 29 to 507 of the family's 1533-position model. The record is from RNAcentral.